Camellia sinensis is the source of this 411-nucleotide non-coding RNA. NCBI's taxonomy places the organism in Eukaryota, Viridiplantae, Streptophyta, Magnoliopsida, Ericales, Theaceae. The record is from RefSeq and is a predicted model, not a curated record.
UGGGUUAUAAAUUUUGCAGGUAAAAUUGUUGCCAGAGGUUGAUCUUCAUGGAGUGAAUUGGCAUCGACAUAAGCAUAUUUUAGCAUUCAUUUCUGGGCCAAAUCAUGUUACAAUUCGUGAUUAUGAGGAUUCAGAACGGAAGGAACCAUGCAUUUUGACCCAUGAAUCCCAAAGAGAUGUUAAGCUUCUUGAGUGGAGGCCAAAUGGUGGGAGGACACUUUCUGUAGCAUGCAAGCAAGGGUAGAAUUUGUAUAUGGACUGCUUCUUAUCCUGCCAAUGCGGCAUCUGUGAGAUCUGGAGUUACCUCUGGCACUAUUGCUAGGGGUGCUGGAACUCGAUGGACUCUAGUGGAUUUUCUUCGAAGUCACGAUGAUGAACAAAUUAGUGCACUUUCUUGGAGUCCAGAUGGAA